Molecule: long non-coding RNA, 458 nt
Organism: Spodoptera litura
Lineage: Eukaryota; Metazoa; Arthropoda; Insecta; Lepidoptera; Noctuidae
Source: RefSeq, a predicted model, not a curated record
GCACCACGCACGUCGGUGCUGCGCCAGGAACUACAAAUGAGUGCUCCGCGAGACCAAACGCGAACCCCGUGCACCACGACACGACCGGCCAGAGACUGUUGACUGUGUUGCACUAUAGUUCACAUUAAUUAAUCACCUAGGAUAAGAGUGUUUCGAACUGUACCGGUUUGUGGCUAAUAUGUUCGAGUGUUGAUGUCUGACUGAGCGACUGGACUGGAAAGUAUCGAGUUCGAAUCCUUGCAACUGACUUCACACGAAGAGUCUGACCGACCAAGUUCAGAAACUAAACUUUUGGAGACAUCGCUAAACUAAGGCGCGGAGAUGUCGCGUUGGCGCGGCUUCGAUGGCGCGGGGUGAACGCGCGUCGCGGCUAGGCGCCGAUGCGCGCCUGGCUCGUCGUGUGUGCGGCGCUCGCGCUGGCGCCCUGCCGAGCGACCGCUGCGCACUCCCACCAGGAC